UUACCGAGUUUACAACUCCCAAACCCCUGUGAACAUACCACUUGUUGCCUCGGCGGAUCAGCCCGCUCCCGGUAAAACGGGACGGCCCGCCAGAGGACCCCUAAACUCUGUUUCUAUAUGUAACUUCUGAGUAAAACCAUAAAUAAAUCAAAACUUUCAACAACGGAUCUCUUGGUUCUGGCAUCGAUGAAGAACGCAGCAAAAUGCGAUAAGUAAUGUGAAUUGCAGAAUUCAGUGAAUCAUCGAAUCUUUGAACGCACAUUGCGCCCGCCAGUAUUCUGGCGGGCAUGCCUGUUCGAGCGUCAUUUCAACCCUCAAGCACAGCUUGGUGUUGGGACUCGCGUUAAUUCGCGUUCCUCAAAUUGAUUGGCGGUCACGUCGAGCUUCCAUAGCGUAGUAGUAAAACCCUCGUUACUGGUAAUCGUCGCGGCCACGCCGUUAAACCCCAACUUCUGAAUGUUGACCUCGGAUCAGGUAGGAAUACCC
Molecule: ribosomal RNA, 486 nt
Filed under: fungal sp. E14717F
Lineage: Eukaryota; Fungi
Description: eukaryotic LSU rRNA
Rfam family: 5.8S ribosomal RNA (bases 152-305)
Source: RNAcentral